Molecule: long non-coding RNA, 1068 nt
Organism: Cyprinus carpio (common carp)
Lineage: Eukaryota; Metazoa; Chordata; Actinopteri; Cypriniformes; Cyprinidae
Source: Ensembl
AUGUCUCAUAUUUACCAUAUAAAGUGCUGUUUUGACACUGCAGAUCGAAUUAUCUAAACGCUGAUGACUCUUACCUAAAUAAUAAGUUAUCUAUCUAUAUAUAAAUCGAAUAUAUUUAUAGAUAUAACGAUUUAUUGUUCAUAUGUUUAUUAUUUUUAAGAGGCGCCGCUCAUUGGUGUCGUUUUGAGCAGCUAAGACUGCAUAAAAUAACAGGCUAAUUCUGCUCUUUUAAGCCGGAGUUUGAAAAGUAAAGAAUAAAAAUGAAACGACAUACCCGCCGAUUGCUUAUCAUUCGCUGUCAAUUCGAUAUUUUGAAAACAGAGAGACGUAUGAAUCCCAAAAAUUGACAAUUUGACUGGAAACGUAUAGAAACAGAAAAGAUGACGCGAUGUGAACACAGCCAAUCAGAGCGCCGCGAAUCUCCUCUUCUCCUCAGCUGACUGGAGACGGGAAAGAGCUCACUGCCAACUACUGGGAGGUCAGAAUUCAUUAUUCUGUGCAUCUGAUCUACCUCGCUGGAAAAAUCUGUUGGGGUCAGAUGCCUCCCUCUCAAAGUCCUCCAACUUGUAGAGCAAGAGCUCUCUCUUCUGGAUCAAGCGAGCAACCUCCUCCCAUGCAGCAAUUGCCUGAAGGCACAAAUACAUCCACGUGACAACAUAAAUCCUAGAUGAUCAUGAUGGAAAGGCAGGAGAGCUCAUUAUCAUUAUCUGUACCUCCUGCAGAUGGCGCCUCCACUCAUGAGAGCUGUAUUUGAUGGCCAUGUCUAGUCACUGUCCUUCUCUGAAAAACAGAUAUUUCUGCAUUCAUUUACGUAGUUUUGGACACUAAAUUAUGCAUUUUCAUAUAUAUACCAGUAUUUUCUUUCUUUUUUUUAUUUUAAGAAAACUAUAACAUGCCAUUCAGUUCUGGUUCCUUUCCCAAUCCUCCCAUCUCCAGAAUCCAGGAACAAAUUCUUGUUUCUGUCUCCUAAGUGAACUGAUCCUUUCCUGUUGCCUUCUGAAAGAGGUGACGAUCAGAUAAAAAUGAGGUUAACUUAAUAUCAAUAAAAUAACAAUAUAUUAAUAUACA